GAGGAGCCUGCGGCGGAUUAGCUAGUUGGUAGGGUAACGGCUUACCAAGGCGACGAUCCGUAACCGGCCUGAGAGGGCGGUCGGUCACACUGACACUGACAUACGGGUCAGACUCCUACGGGAGGCAGCAGUCGGGAAUUUUGGGCAAUGGGCGAAAGCCUGACCCAGCAACGCCGCGUGAAGGAUGAAAUCCCUCGGGAUGUAAACUUCGCAAGAAUGGGAAGAAUGAGCGAGCGCUAAUACCGUUCGUGAUGACGGUACCAUUUGUAAGCUCCGGCUAACUCCGUGCCAGCAGCCGCGGUAAUACGGGGGGAGCAAGCGUUGUUCGGAUUUACUGGGCGUAAAGGGCGCGUAGGCUGUGCUGUAAGUCAGGCGUGAAAGGCCCGGGCUCAACCUGGGAAUGGCGCUUGAUACUGCGGCGCUGGAAGGCGGGAGAGGAUGGCGGAAUUCCCAGUGUAGAGGUGAAAUUCGUAGAUAUUGGGAAG
Molecule: ribosomal RNA, 485 nt
Filed under: uncultured Acidobacteriota bacterium
Lineage: Bacteria; Pseudomonadati; Acidobacteriota
Description: bacterial SSU rRNA
Rfam family: Bacterial small subunit ribosomal RNA
Source: RNAcentral